CACUACUAUACAACUUUCAACAACGGAUCUCUUGGCUUCGCAUCGAUGAAGAACGCAGCGAAAUGCGAUAAGUAAUGUGAAUUGCAGAAUUCAGUGAAUCAUCGAAUCUUUGAACGCACCUUGCACCCUUUGGUAUUCCGAAGGGUAUGCUCGUUUGAGUGUCAUU
This 166-nucleotide ribosomal RNA is filed under the name uncultured mycorrhiza of Hexalectris spicata sp. C. RNAcentral describes it as "5.8S ribosomal RNA". It matches the Rfam family "5.8S ribosomal RNA". From Rfam's summary of the family: 5.8S ribosomal RNA (5.8S rRNA) is a component of the large subunit of the eukaryotic ribosome. It is transcribed by RNA polymerase I as part of the 45S precursor that also contains 18S and 28S rRNA. Functionally, it is thought that 5.8S rRNA may be involved in ribosome translocation. The record is from RNAcentral. Lineage: Eukaryota; Fungi; Basidiomycota; Agaricomycetes; Sebacinales; Sebacinaceae.